AGGACGAACGCUGGCGGCGGUGCUUAACGACGAUGCAAGUCGAGCGGAAAGGCCCUUCGGGGUACUCGAGCGGCGAACGGGUGAGUAACACGUGAGUAAUCUGCCCCUAGCUCUGGGAUAGCUCCGGGAAACCGGGAUUAAUACCAGAUACGACCACUUUAGACAUCUUCUGUGGUGGAAAGAACUUCGGCUAGGGAUGAACUCGCGGCCUAUCAGCUUGUUGGUGAGGUAACGGCUCACCAAGGCGACGACGGGUAGCCGGCCUGAGAGGGCGACCGGCCACACUGGGACUGAGACACGGCCCAGACUCCUACGGGAGGCAGCAGUGGGGAAUAUUGCGCAAUGGGCGAAAGCCUGACGCAGCGACGCCGCGUGGGGGAUGAAGGCCUUCGGGUUGUAAACCCUUUCAGCAGGGACGAAGCGAAAGUGACGGUACCUGCAGAAGAAGCGCCGGCUAACUACGCGCCAGCAGCCGC
This 476-nucleotide ribosomal RNA is filed under the name uncultured bacterium. Its description in RNAcentral is "SSU rRNA". It matches the Rfam family "Bacterial small subunit ribosomal RNA", at positions 26 to 518 of the family's 1533-position model. The record is from RNAcentral.